UACAGAGGUCUCAAGCGUUGUUCGGAUUCAUUGGGCGUAAAGGGUGCGUAGGCGGCGCGGUAAGUCGGGUGUGAAAUCUCGGAGCUUAACUCCGAAACUGCAUUCGAUACUGCCGUGCUUGAGGACUGGAGAGGAGACUGGAAUUUACGGUGUAGCGGUGAAAUGCGUAGAUAUCGUAAGGAAGACCAGUGGCGAAGGCGGGUCUCUGGACAGUUAAUGACGCUGAGGCACGAAGGUCAGGGGAGCAAACGGG
This 253-nucleotide ribosomal RNA is filed under the name uncultured bacterium. RNAcentral's name for it is "partial 16S ribosomal RNA". It matches the Rfam family "Bacterial small subunit ribosomal RNA", at positions 524 to 776 of the family's 1533-position model. The record is from RNAcentral.